This 497-nucleotide ribosomal RNA is filed under the name uncultured bacterium. RNAcentral describes it as "partial 16S ribosomal RNA". It matches the Rfam family "Bacterial small subunit ribosomal RNA", at positions 28 to 507 of the family's 1533-position model. The record is from RNAcentral.
GAUGAACGCUGGCGGCGUGCCUAAUACAUGCAAGUCGAGCGAAAAGACGAGGAGCUUGCUCCUCUGACGUUAGCGGCGGACGGGUGAGUAACACGUGGAUAACCUACCUAUAAGACUGGGAUAACUUCGGGAAACCGGAGCUAAUACCGGAUAAUAUAUUGAACCGCAUGGUUCAAUAGUGAAAGACGGUUUUGCGGUCACUUAUAGAUGGAUAUGCGCCGCAUUAGCUAGUUGGUAAGGUAACGGCUUAUCAAGGCAACGAUGCGUAGCCGAGCUGAGAGGCUGGUCGGCCACAUGAGAGCGUGAACGCGGACCAGCGGCCUACGGGAGGGACCAGUAGGGAACCGUCGGCAGUAGGCGAAAGCCUGGCAGAACAGCCCGGCGUGAGUUAUAAAGGUCUUGGGUGCGGAAAGCUCGGUUAUGGGGGAUAAACAGAUUUGGAAGUAGCUGUACACUUCUUGACGGUACCUAAUCAAAAAGCCACGGCUAACUACGUG